Molecule: transfer RNA, 64 nt
Filed under: Heterocephalus glaber (naked mole-rat)
Lineage: Eukaryota; Metazoa; Chordata; Mammalia; Rodentia; Bathyergidae
Rfam family: tRNA
About the family: Transfer RNA (tRNA) molecules are approximately 80 nucleotides in length. Their secondary structure includes four short double-helical elements and three loops (D, anti-codon, and T loops).
Source: Rfam by way of RNAcentral
GGAGAUGUAGCUCAGUGGUAAAGCACUUGCUUACCAUGUAUGAGAUCCUGGGUUUCCAUCUCCA